This 366-nucleotide ribosomal RNA is filed under the name uncultured eukaryote. Its description in RNAcentral is "partial 18S ribosomal RNA". It matches the Rfam family "Eukaryotic small subunit ribosomal RNA", at positions 592 to 976 of the family's 1831-position model. The record is from RNAcentral.
CAAUAGCGUAUAUUAACGUUGUUGCAGUUAAAAAGCUCGUAGUUGGAUUUCUGGAGGGAGCGUCGGCCCGUAUUUACGAGUGCGUGACGUCUCUGUCCAUCCUUGCGGGAAGGCACGGCAUUGAUUUGUUGUGUCGGAUCGCAUCAUUUACUGUGAAAAAAUUAGAGUGUUCAAAGCAGGCUUUCGCUUGAAUACAUUAGCAUGGAAUAAUAAGAUAGGACUUUGGUGCUAUUUUGUAGGUUGAGCCUAAAGUAAUGAUUAAUAGGGAUAGUUGGGGGCACCUGUAUUGCGUUGUCAGAGGUGAAAUUCUUGGAUUUACGCAAGACAAACAGCUGCGAAAGCGUCUGCCAAGGAUGUUUUCAUUAA